This 253-nucleotide ribosomal RNA is filed under the name uncultured bacterium. Its description in RNAcentral is "partial 16S ribosomal RNA". It matches the Rfam family "Bacterial small subunit ribosomal RNA", at positions 524 to 776 of the family's 1533-position model. The record is from RNAcentral.
UACGUAGGGUGCAAGCGUUGUCCGGAAUUAUUGGGCGUAAAGAGCUCGUAGGCGGCGCGGUAAGUCGGGUGUGAAAUCUCGGGGCUUAACUCCGAAACUGCAUUCGAUACUGCCGUGCUUGAGGACUGGAGAGGAGACUGGAAUUUACGGUGUAGCGGUGAAAUGCGUAGAUAUCGUAAGGAAGACCAGUGGCGAAGGCGGGUCUCUGGACAGUUCCUGACGCUGAGGCACGAAGGCCAGGGGAGCAAACGGG